Galeopterus variegatus (Sunda flying lemur) is the source of this 549-nucleotide long non-coding RNA. RefSeq lists it as uncharacterized. NCBI's taxonomy places the organism in Eukaryota, Metazoa, Chordata, Mammalia, Dermoptera, Cynocephalidae. The transcript is spliced from 4 exons. The record is from RefSeq and is a predicted model, not a curated record.
UUUCAGAUUGGAGAACUGGCAAAUACCCUGACGAGUAAAUUUGAAUUCCUAGGCAUUAAUAGACAGUCCAUCUCCAACUUUCAUGUGCUGCUCUUACAGACUGAGACACGAAUUGCAGACUGGCGGGAAGGAGCUCUUAAUGGAAACUACCUUAAACGAAAACUUCAGGAUGCAGCAGAACAACUAAAACAGUAUGAAAUAAACGCCACUCCUAAAGGCUGGUCCUGCCACUGGGACAGGACCUCUGGAAGCAACUACUCCUGAUUAACCUCGGUGAAGUUAAGGAAAGCUUCGUGACUGAAGAUGUGAAUGAAGAACAAGAUUACUAUCCUCUGCCAGCAGGGAUCAUAGACGAUAUUUCUAUGUAAACGAACAGUCGGGCGAGUCUCAGUGGGAGUUCCCAGAUGGUGAGGAGGAGGAGGAAGAAAGCCAAGCACAAGAAAGCAGAGACGAGAGUCUUCCUAAACAGACCGUGAAAGACAAAACUGGCACUGAUUCAAAUUCUACAGAAUCUUCUGAGAAUUCCACAGGUGGGACAAUUUAUCCUUU